UACGGAGGAUCCAAGCGUUAUCCGGAUUUAUUGGGUUUAAAGGGCGUGCAGGCGGUUUGUUAAGUCUAGGGUGAAAGCUCCCGGCUCAACUGGGAGAGGUCCUUGGAUACUGGCGAACUUGAGGGAUGCAGAGGAAAGCGGAAUUCCGGGUGUAGCGGUGAAAUGCGUAGAUAUCCGGAGGAACACCGGUGGCGAAGGCGGCUUCCUGGACCGACACUGACGCUGAGGCGCGAAAGCUAGGGGAGCAAACGGG
RNAcentral lists this ribosomal RNA (253 nucleotides) under uncultured bacterium. RNAcentral describes it as "partial 16S ribosomal RNA". It matches the Rfam family "Bacterial small subunit ribosomal RNA", at positions 524 to 776 of the family's 1533-position model. The record is from RNAcentral.